This 361-nucleotide unclassified non-coding RNA is filed under the name plant metagenome. Its description in RNAcentral is "partial contains 5.8S ribosomal RNA, internal transcribed spacer 2, and large subunit ribosomal RNA". The stretch from base 1 to 98 matches the Rfam family "5.8S ribosomal RNA", at positions 49 to 154 of the family's 154-position model. The record is from RNAcentral.
CGAAAUGCGAUACGCAGUGCGAAUUGCAGAACGCGAGUCAUCAGAUCUUUGAACGCAAGUGGCGCCGGUUAGCAGCCGGCAUGCGAGGCUCAGUGUGUUUGGAAAUCACAAAAGCGGAAUGUGGUUGAAGUGUAUUAUAUAUACUUCUCCCAUUAAACGCAUGUGGGCUGAAAGGACUUUCCCUAAACCGGAAAGUCACACCUUUCUUGCAUCCACACACCCUUCGGAAGUAGUCACUAGCUCCCUAGUGAUCUACGAAGAGAGUGUUGUUGUGUUGCGCGAUAGGGUGCCUAGCUCAAAUUUGUAAUUCUCCUCUCACCUCUACACCUGAGCUUCACAAGGUCACCCGCUGAACUUAAGC